CAACCUGAACUCAGUCGUGAUUACCCGCUGAACUUAAGCAUAUCAUUUAGCGGAGGAAAAGAAACUAAAAAGGAUUCCCCUAGUAACGGCGAGUGAAACGGGAAGAGCCCAGCGCCGAAUCGAUCAGUCUUUGGCUGCUUCGAAAUGUGGCGUAUAGGUGUAGUCUUCCAGCAGUGUCGUAUGUCCGAAGUCCUUGCGAUUGAGGCCAUAAACCAGAGAGGGUGCGAGCCCCGUUCUGGAUAGCGGCGCUGUUGGUUCGACUGCUCCUUGG
This is a non-coding RNA of Caenorhabditis japonica, 271 nucleotides long. The record is from Rfam. Lineage: Eukaryota; Metazoa; Nematoda; Chromadorea; Rhabditida; Rhabditidae.